This 242-nucleotide long non-coding RNA is filed under the name Homo sapiens (human). Its description in RNAcentral is "HSALNT0007443". The record is from RNAcentral. Lineage: Eukaryota; Metazoa; Chordata; Mammalia; Primates; Hominidae.
UGUGAUCAAACGCCCAGGAGCCAGCUGGUGAGAAAGGCUUCACUAACCUUCCUUGGAGACUGAGCUCAGGAACGACCACAUGAAUAAGUUCUGAACAAUAGGAUGUGACAAGAAGCACUGUUGUGGAUCACUUCUCAAAAUGAAUUUACUUGUUCUGUGUGUCUUCUUCCCCUCUCUUGAGGAUUGGCAUGGGAGUAUGAUGGGGAAGAGUCAUCUUUGCUCAUAAAGACAAUGGGGGAUGA